AGCAGCCGCGGUAAUUCCAGCUCCAAUAGCGUAUAUUAAAGUUGUUGCAGUUAAAAAGCUCGUAGUUGAAUUUCGGGAUUGGCGCGUCGGUCGUGCCUCACGGGGUAUGAACUGGUGCAGUCAAUUUCUCACCUUCUGGAGAACCGCGAUGUCCUUAAUUGGGUGCCGCGGGGAACCAGGACCUUUACUUUGAAAAAAUUAGAGUGUUUAAAGCAGGCAUUUUUGCUUGAAUACAUUAGCAUGGAAUAAUAAAAUAGGACGGCAUGGUUCUAUUUUGUUGGUUUCUAGGACCACCGUAAUGAUUAAUAGGGAUAGUUGGGGGCAUUAGUAUUCAAUUGUCAGAGGUGAAAUUCUUGGAUUUAUUGAAGACUAACUACUGCGAAAGCAUUUGCCAAGGAUGUUUUCAUUAAUCAAGAACGAAAGUUAGGGGAUCGAAGACGAUCAGAUACCGUCGUAGUCUUAACCAUAAACUAUGCCGACUAGGAAUCAGACGAUGUUAAUUUUUUAAUGACUCGUUUGGCACCUUACG
RNAcentral lists this ribosomal RNA (529 nucleotides) under uncultured Glomus. RNAcentral's name for it is "SSU rRNA". It matches the Rfam family "Eukaryotic small subunit ribosomal RNA", at positions 569 to 1092 of the family's 1831-position model. The record is from RNAcentral. Lineage: Eukaryota; Fungi; Glomeromycota; Glomeromycetes; Glomerales; Glomeraceae.